GGAUUCCUACGGGACGCAGCAGUGGGGAAUAUUGCACAAUGGGGGAAACCCUGAUGCAGCAACGCCGCGUGAGUGAAGAAGUAUUUCGGUAUGUAAAGCUCUAUCAGCAGGGAAGAAGAUGACGGUACCUGAUUAAGAAGCCCCGGCUAACUACGUGCCAGCAGCCGCGGUAAUACGUAGGGGGCAAGCGUUAUCCGGAUUUACUGGGUGUAAAGGGAGCGUAGACGGCGAUGCAAGUCUGAAGUGAAAGCCCGGGGCUCAACCCCGGGACUGCUUUGGAAACUGUGUGGCUGGAGUGCUGGAGG
This 305-nucleotide ribosomal RNA is filed under the name uncultured bacterium. RNAcentral's name for it is "bacterial SSU rRNA". It matches the Rfam family "Bacterial small subunit ribosomal RNA", at positions 333 to 655 of the family's 1533-position model. The record is from RNAcentral.